AUGAGGCUAGCCAACUCACCUCCAGAAGGCUCCCCCGAUUGGGCCAUUUGUGGCCGUCGGAUCGGGGCCGCUUGCGAUGUGUUGGCUGGGUGCGGGGUGAAACGGUACGAUUGGUCAUUCAUCCUGAAAAGCCCAUUGGUCGCCCAAACCCCACAGCGCACGCCCCCACCUCCUUCCUCCCUCACUCGUCUCAGUCGCAUGAACCCUAGCCGCCGCCCCACCCGCAUCCGUCCUCCAUCCCUGGUACGAUCUCUUCCUCCUCUGUCUAUGUCUGCCCCGAGCUCUUCCUCCUCCGUCCUCACAUGCUCCACCCCGAGCCCCGCCUCUUCCACCCCACCUGGACUUCGCCUCGUCUGUUCGCGCACCAGUUCAAAGGGCAGGGCCAGAGAGCCGUGGAGAGUCCUCGGGAGAGGAGAGAAAGGCAAAGGCGGAGCAGAGGAAAUCAAGAAGGUCAGGGGGCGAGGGAGGGAUGGGACAGGCCAUGAAGAGCAUGAUGGGCGAGAUCCCGUUGCUGUCGACACGGGCGGGUCCAUGGGUCUGCGAUGCGUGGCAGCGGCGGCUCAAGGAGGAGGCACCCGCUGGGAGGGCACCUGCUGGUACGUCCACAACCUCAGCCGCUAUGAGUUCCCCCUCCGGUUCAACAUCCCCCUUGCUCACCCCACGUCGUGCACGAGAUCGAGCUCCCCACGCUUGAUGUCAAGCCCCACAAGAUAUACCACGAAGGGAAGAUCUGCCUCAAUGUGCACUUCAGGCGCGCGCGAUGGUACAGGAUUGGCUUCCUGGUGGAAUCAGGUGCGCAUCGUCCAUGGUGGCCUGUCGUGGGUGUUGGGAGAUGGGGUUGAUGGAGAAGAAGAGGAAAUAGAGGUGGGUGUUCUUGCGGCACUCGGCUGGUUCCAAAACCGUGAGGGGAAGGACUUCAUGCCUCUGGAGGGGAAAGAGCAGAGGAUUCGGGAGAAGAAGCAACCAGAGGAGCCGGAGAACAUGGCCCCUGUCCUGUUUCUCAGUAACUUGGGGCUAUUAAGAAGAGGCCUUUCCAUUCUAGGCAUCAUUUCUCAAUUGUUUGGGGUCCAAUUCUACAAAUGCUUGGAUGUGUUGGUUCGGCCUUCUGUUAAUCUCCAGAUGAUAGGCUCUAGAAUCACUAACGUUGCUCCUUCUCUGUCCCUUUGGUCAAGGUGUCGUGUUUGUGUGUUUGUUUUUGUGCACAAAGGAAUGAGGAAAGGAUACUGGAGGCAUGGCGUAAGCGUAGGGGUCAGCCAGGGCACGACGCAGGAGUCUGCCCAUCUCCUCUCAAAGUUAGUUCUUGCUCUUGUCCCUGCUACCUCGCCUGCAAACUCUCUGAUAGAGUAUUUUAUUUCUGCAAUAAAUGAGGCAACCUUACAUGUUGACAAGAAAGAGAGACAGGGAGGUGAGAUGAGGAAAGCAGAGGAACAACAGGAGGAGGAGAAGGGCAGCGGUGAUUAUCUCAUGGUCGUCGGCGACAGCGUCGCCCUGCCGCCGCGGCCUGCGAGGACCCAGAUCGGGCACUGGGAAGCCCAUCUAGGCCCCGAGCCGCCUAGCUCCUGCGCCCGAGCGGCUCCCUGCUCGCCCGACCUCCAGCCGACCUCGGUCGCCGCCGACCUUGUCAUCCGUACCCUCUUGCCACCUCGCCCUUGUUGGAUCCUCGCCUUCGGUCUUCUCCGCCUCGCCCUCAACUACGGAUCCGGCUGCUCCCUCCGUUCAUGGCCUGCCGAACCAACACCGGCGCCCCUCUCCUCGCAGCAGAGCCUCACCGCCCUCCAUGGCGCGGCCUCCCAGUGCCUAGUCGCUGCCCGGCCCCGCCAUCGCCCAGAAACGGAGCCGCCGCCUCCGGAUCCGUCGCCUCGCGUCCUUCCUCGACCUCCUUGGACGCCCCUCGCCGGAGAUCAGGUCACCGUCGUCCCUGCCUCAUCCUGGAGCGAGAGGAGGACGGCCCCCGUGGCCUCCUCGCUCGCCCUGCGGGUGGGACGCGUCCUCGCUCGCCGGCCCACCGCUGCUGCUCCCCGCGUCGGCCCUGCGCGCCGGCUUCCAAGGCCCAACCUGAGCUUCCCCACCGACCGGGCCAAGGCCCCUAGGUGA
Molecule: ribosomal RNA, 2094 nt
Filed under: Triticum aestivum (bread wheat)
Lineage: Eukaryota; Viridiplantae; Streptophyta; Magnoliopsida; Poales; Poaceae
Description: partial small subunit ribosomal RNA
Source: RNAcentral